GACGAACGCUGGCGGCGUGCCUAAUACAUGCAAGUCGAGCGAGCUUGCCUAGAUGAAUUUGGUGCUUGCACCAAAUGAAACUAGAUACAAGCGAGCGGCGGACGGGUGAGUAACACGUGGGUAACCUGCCCAAGAGACUGGGAUAACACCUGGAAACAGAUGCUAAUACCGGAUAACAACACUAGACGCAUGUCUAGAGUUUAAAAGAUGGUUCUGCUGUCACUCUUGGAUGGACCUGCGGUGCAUUAGCUAGUUGGUAAGGCAACGGCUUACCAAGGCAAUGAUGCAUAGCCGAGUUGAGAGACUGAUCGGCCACAUUGGGACUGAGACACGGCCCAAACUCCUACGGGAGGCAGCAGUAGGGAAUCUUCCACAAUGGACGCAAGUCUGAUGGAGCAACGCCGCGUGAGUGAAGAAGGGGUUCGGCUCGUAAAGCUCUGUUGGUAGUGAAGAAAGAUAGAGGUAGUAACUGGACUUUAUUUGACGGUAAUUACUUAGAAAGUCACGGCUAACUACGUG
RNAcentral lists this ribosomal RNA (519 nucleotides) under uncultured bacterium. RNAcentral's name for it is "partial 16S ribosomal RNA". It matches the Rfam family "Bacterial small subunit ribosomal RNA", at positions 28 to 507 of the family's 1533-position model. The record is from RNAcentral.